AUUGAGCGCUGGCGGUAUGCUUUACACAUGCAAGUCGAACGGCAGCGCGGGCUUCGGCCUGGCGGCGAGUGGCGAACGGGUGAGUAAUACAUCGGAACGUGCCCAGUAGUGGGGGAUAGCUCGGCGAAAGCCGGAUUAAUACCGCAUACGACCUGAGGGUGAAAGCGGGGGAUCUUCGGACCUCGCGCUAUUGGAGCGGCCGAUGGCAGAUUAGCUAGUUGGUGGGGUAAAGGCCUACCAAGGCGACGAUCUGUAGCUGGUCUGAGAGGACGACCAGCCACACUGGGACUGAGACACGGCCCAGACUCCUACGGGAGGCAGCAGUGGGGAAUUUUGGACAAUGGGCGAAAGCCUGAUCCAGCAAUGCCGCGUGUGUGAUGAAGGCCUUCGGGUUGUAAAGCACUUUUGGCGGGAACGAAAAGGACUGUGCCAAUACCACGGUUCGAUGACGGUACCCGCAGAAUAAGCACCGGCUAACUACGUG
RNAcentral lists this ribosomal RNA (484 nucleotides) under uncultured bacterium. RNAcentral's name for it is "partial 16S ribosomal RNA". It matches the Rfam family "Bacterial small subunit ribosomal RNA", at positions 29 to 507 of the family's 1533-position model. The record is from RNAcentral.